RNAcentral lists this ribosomal RNA (701 nucleotides) under uncultured soil bacterium. RNAcentral's name for it is "bacterial SSU rRNA". It matches the Rfam family "Bacterial small subunit ribosomal RNA", at positions 60 to 763 of the family's 1533-position model. The record is from RNAcentral.
AGUCGAGCGAGAAAGUCCUUCGGGAUGAGUAUAGCGGCGGACGGGUGAGUAAUACGUGAGAAUCUGCCUUUUAGUGGAGAAUACCUUCGAGAAAUCGAAGUUAAUACUGCAUAAGUCCUACGGGAGAAAGAUGGCCUCUUUGCUGUCGCUAAAAGAUGAGCUCGCGCACUAUCAGCUAGUUGGUGGGGUAAAGGCCUACCAAGGCUAUGACGGUUAGCCGGCCUGAGAGGGUGUACGGCCACACUGGAACUUAGACACGGUCCAGACUCCUACGGGAGGCAGCAGUGGGGAAUAUUGCGCAAUGGGCGAAAGCCUGACGCAGCGACGCCGCGUGGAGGAUGAAGGUCUUCGGAUUGUAAACUUCUGUUAAGUGGGAAGAAAGAUUUACGUUUAAUAGACGUAGGGAAUGACGGUACCAUUAGAGAAAGCACCGGCUAACUUCGUGCCAGCAGCCGCGGUAAUACGAAGGGUGCAAGCGUUAUUCGGAAUCAUUGGGCGUAAAGGGUGCGUAGACGGUAUAUUGAGUCUGUUGUUAAAUCUUCCGGCCUAACCGGAAAUCUGCAGUAGAUACUGAUGUGCUAGAGGAUGGAAGAGAGAAGUGGAAUUCGCGGAGUAGUGGUAAAAUGCGUAGAUCUCGAGGGGAACACCAAUGGCGAAGGCAGCUUCUUGGUCCAUAUCUGACGUUGAGGCACGAAAGCGUG